CACACACAGUCGUCUUAACGAUGAAGUUUUUAUAUAUCUUGUUGAUUUUCUUUGUGUUCGGCUGUAGUUAUGGGCAAGAUAUUGCGAAUGGAGCUGCUGCUGGGCCAUACCGCCCAUUAGUUCCUGUUGAAUAUAUUAUAAACAAUAGCAAUGAGGACGCCAAUUUAGCAGGCAAGCCUGUAGUUCCUCCAUCUUUAGGGACUUACAUUCACCUACAAAACUUAUAUGACAUGAAUAAAGCAGCUGCCGAAAGGAAAAAAACCGAUCAACAAGUGAAAAUCUGAGAACCUUAAAUUAGCCAAGUUUGGAUCAAAACAUUAGAAACUAAAAUGAUUUAAGAUAAAAAAUAAAAUGAUCAGCAUUAAAAUACU
Helicoverpa armigera (cotton bollworm) is the source of this 371-nucleotide long non-coding RNA. RefSeq lists it as uncharacterized. The transcript has 3 exons. The record is from RefSeq and is a predicted model, not a curated record. Lineage: Eukaryota; Metazoa; Arthropoda; Insecta; Lepidoptera; Noctuidae.